UACAUGCAAGUCGAACGCGGGCACUUGUGCCCGAGUGGCGAACGGGUGAGUAAUACAUAAGUAACCUGGCCUUUACAGGGGGAUAACUGCUGGAAACGGCAGCUAAGACCGCAUAGGUAGGGACACUGCAUGGUGACCGUAUUAAAAGUGCUGCAAGGCACUGGUAGAGGAUGGACUUAUGGCGCAUUAGCUGGUUGGUGAGGUAACGGCUCACCAAGGCGACGAUGCGUAGCCGACCUGAGAGGGUGACCGGCCACACUGGGACUGAGACACGGCCCAGACUCCUACGGGAGGCAGCAGUAGGGAAUUUUCGGCAAUGGGGGGAACCCUGACCGAGCAACGCCGCGUGAAGGAAGAAGGAAUUCGUUCUGUAAACUUCUGUUAUAAAGGAAGAAAGACGGAUGGAGGAAAUGACAUCCGAGUGACGGUACUUUAUGAGAAAGCCACGGCUAACUACGUGCCAGCAGCCGCGGUAAUACGUAGGUGGCAAGCGUUAUCCGGAAUUAUUGGGCGUAAAGAGGGAGCAGGCGGCAGCAAAGGUCUGUGGUGAAAGACUGAAGCUUAACUUCAGUAAGCCAUAGAAACCGGGCAGCUAGAGUGCAGGAGAGGAUCGUGGAAUUCCAUGUGUAGCGGUGAAAUGCGUAGAUAUAUGGAGGAACACCAGUGGCGAAGGCGACGAUCUGGCCUGCAACUGACGCUCAGUCCCGAAAGCGUGGGGAGCAAAUAGGAUUAGAUACCCUAGUAGUCCACGCCGUAAACGAUGAGUACUAAGUGUUGGAAGUCAAAUUUCAGUGCUGCAGUUAACGCAGUAAGUACUCCGCCUGAGUAGUACGUUCGCAAGAAUGAAACUCAAAGGAAUUGACGGGGGCCCGCACAAGCGGUGGAGCAUGUGGUUUAAUUCGAAGCAACGCGAAGAACCUUACCAGGUCUUGACAUACUCAUAAAGGAUCCAGAGAUGGAUAGAUAGUUAUAUGAGAUACAGGUGGUGCAUGGUUGUCGUCAGCUCGUGUCGUGAGAUGUUGGGUUAAGUCCCGCAACGAGCGCAACCCUUGUCGUUAGUUACCAUCAUUAAGUUGGGGACUCUAGCGAGACUGCCAGUGACAAGCUGGAGGAAGGCGGGGAUGACGUCAAAUCAUCAUGCCCCUUAUGACCUGGGCUACACACGUGCUACAAUGGAUGGUGCAGAGGGAAGCGAAGCCGCGAGGCGAAGCAAAACCCAUAAAACCAUUCUCAGUUCGGAUUGUAGUCUGCAACUCGACUACAUGAAGUUGGAAUCGCUAGUAAUCGCGAAUCAGCAUGUCGCGGUGAAUACGUUCUCGGGCCUUGUACACACCGCCCGUCACACCAUGAGAGUUGAUAACACCCGAAGCCGGUGGCCUAACCGAAAGGAAGGAGCUGUCUAA
This 1403-nucleotide ribosomal RNA is filed under the name Thomasclavelia cocleata. RNAcentral's name for it is "bacterial SSU rRNA". It matches the Rfam family "Bacterial small subunit ribosomal RNA". Lineage: Bacteria; Bacillati; Bacillota; Erysipelotrichia; Erysipelotrichales; Coprobacillaceae. The record is from RNAcentral.